AAUGAACGCUGGCGGCGUGCCUAACACAUGCAAGUCGAACGAGAAAGCCCGCAAGGGUGAGUACAGUGGCGCACGGGUGAGUAAUACAUAGGAAUCUACCUCUGAGUGAAGAAUACCCUAGAGAAAUUUAGGUUAAUACUGCAUAAGCCCAGAAAUGGGGAAAGGUGGCCUCAAACUACCGCUGAGAGAUGAGCCUGUGGCCUAUUAGCUAGUUGGUAGGGUAAAAGCCUACCAAGGCGAGGAUGGGUAGCCGGCCUGAGAGGGUGACCGGUCACACUGGGGCUGAGACACGGCCCAGACUCCUACGGGAGGCAGCAGUGGGGAAUAUUGGGCAAUGGGCGGAAGCCUGAUCCAGCAACGCCGCGUGAGGGAUGACGGCCUUCGGGUUGUAAACCUCUUUCAGCAGGGACGAAGCGCAAGUGACGGUACCUGCAGAAGAAGCACCGGCCAACUACGUGCCAGCCGCCGCCGUAA
Molecule: ribosomal RNA, 474 nt
Filed under: uncultured bacterium
Lineage: Bacteria
Description: partial 16S ribosomal RNA
Rfam family: Bacterial small subunit ribosomal RNA
Source: RNAcentral